AUAUUUUAAAUUGAAGAUCGAAUUCAAUCAUUGUAUUCAUAUAAGGUCAAGGAGUGUAGUUGUAAAAAAUCAUUAAAAUCGGAGUUAAAUUAACCGUUAAAUCGUGAUUUUUCGUUUAUAACCGUCGAAAAGUUUUGUCCCGUUACUUGCUCUCUUAAUGGUUUUUUUUUGCAAUUUUUGGCGUAUGCGAUCUCGAAAUAUAUAAAAACAUGUUUGACAGUUGGAUCAUUGAAACUAGUUUCGUAGAAUGAGUAUCCCAUCAAAACAAUAGAUUCACUAAUACUUAAGAGUUUAUUCAUGCUUUUAUUAAGUAUAACAUAAGAUUUUGUGGUAUCCACUAGUGUAAAUAUUUUAAAUUGAAGAUCGAAUUCAAUCAUUGUAUUCAUAUAGGGUCAAGGAGUGUAGUUGUAAAAAAUCAUCAAAAUCGGAGUUAAAAUGACCGCUACAUCGUGAUUUUUUGUUUAUAACCAUCGAAAUGUUUUGUCCCGUUACUUAAUCUCUUAAUGUUUGUUUUUUGCAAUUUUUGGCGUAUGCGAUCUCGAAGUAUAUAUAAACAU
RNAcentral lists this long non-coding RNA (557 nucleotides) under Malus domestica (apple). Its description in RNAcentral is "long non-coding RNA (MDOM_LNC014541)". Lineage: Eukaryota; Viridiplantae; Streptophyta; Magnoliopsida; Rosales; Rosaceae. The record is from RNAcentral.